AUUACCCAAUCCCGAUUCGGGGAGGUAGUGACAAUAAAUAACAAUACAGGGCCAACGGUCUUGUUAUUGGAAUGAGAACAAUUUAAAUAACUUAACGAGGAUCAAUUAGAGGGCAAGUCUGGUGCCAGCAGCCGCGGUAAUUCCAGCUCUAAUAGCGUAUAUUAAAGUUGUUGCAGUUAAAAAGCUCGUAGUCGGGUGUCGGGCUCGGGCAAGCUGUCGGCCUCUGGUCGGACGGCAGGCUCGGGUCUUUCUGCCUGAGGAACCCGGUUGCUUUCGGGCUGCCGGUGGACGCAGGUCGUUUACUUUGAAAAAAUUAGAGUGUUCAAAGCAGGCUAGCGCUUGAAUACAUUAGCAUGGAAUAAUGGAAUAGGACUUUGGUGCUAUUUUGUUGGUUUAUGGGACCGAAGUAAUGAUUAACAGGGACAGUUGGGGCCGUUUAUAUUUCGUUGUCAGAGGUGAAAUUCUUGGAUUUACAAAGAUAAACUUCUGCGAAAGCAUUCGGCAAGGAUGUUUUCAUUGAUCAAGAACGAAAGUUAGGGG
Molecule: ribosomal RNA, 540 nt
Filed under: uncultured marine cryptophyte
Lineage: Eukaryota; Cryptophyceae
Description: SSU rRNA
Rfam family: Eukaryotic small subunit ribosomal RNA
Source: RNAcentral